AACGAACGCUGGCGGCAGGCCUAACACAUGCAAGUCGAGCGCGCCCUUCGGGGUGAGCGGCGGACGGGUGAGUAACGCGUGGGAACGUGCCCUUUUCUACGGAAUAGCCUCGGGAAACUGAGAGUAAUACCGUAUACGCCCUUUGGGGGAAAGAUUUAUCGGAAAGGGAUCGGCCCGCGUUGGAUUAGGUAGUUGGUGGGGUAAUGGCCUACCAAGCCGACGAUCCAUAGCUGGUUUGAGAGGAUGAUCAGCCACACUGGGACUGAGACACGGCCCAGACUCCUACGGGAGGCAGCAGUGGGGAAUCUUAGACAAUGGGGGCAACCCUGAUCUAGCCAUGCCGCGUGAGUGAUGAAGGCCUUAGGGUUGUAAAGCUCUUUCAGCUGGGAAGAUAAUGACGGUACCAGCAGAAGAAGCCCCGGCUAACUCCGUG
RNAcentral lists this ribosomal RNA (433 nucleotides) under uncultured bacterium. RNAcentral describes it as "partial 16S ribosomal RNA". It matches the Rfam family "Bacterial small subunit ribosomal RNA", at positions 29 to 507 of the family's 1533-position model. The record is from RNAcentral.